RNAcentral lists this ribosomal RNA (577 nucleotides) under uncultured bacterium. RNAcentral's name for it is "bacterial SSU rRNA". It matches the Rfam family "Bacterial small subunit ribosomal RNA", at positions 338 to 917 of the family's 1533-position model. The record is from RNAcentral.
CCUACGGGAGGCAGCAGUGAGGAAUAUUGGACAAUGGGCGGGAGCCUGAUCCAGCCAUGCCGCGUGCAGGAAGACUGCCCUAUGGGUUGUAAACUGCUUUUGUACGGGAAGAAACACCUCUACGUGUAGGGGCUUGACGGUACCGUAAGAAUAAGGAUCGGCUAACUCCGUGCCAGCAGCCGCGGUAAUACGGAGGAUCCGAGCGUUAUCCGGAAUCAUUGGGUUUAAAGGGUCCGUAGGUGGAUGGUUAAGUCAGAGGUGAAAUCCUGCAGCUCAACUGUAGAAUUGCCUUUGAUACUGGCUAUCUUGAAUCGAUGUGAAGUGGUUAGAAUAUGUAGUGUAGCGGUGAAAUGCAUAGAUAUUACAUAGAAUACCGAUUGCGAAGGCAGAUCACUAACAUUGUAUUGACACUGAUGGACGAAAGCGUGGGGAGCGAACAGGAUUAGAUACCCUGGUAGUCCACGCCGUAAACGAUGGAUACUAGCUGUUGGGCCUCGGCUCAGUGGCUAAGCGAAAGUGAUAAGUAUCCCACCUGGGGAGUACGUUCGCAAGAAUGAAACUCAAAGGAAUUGACGGA